CCCGGAGAUCCUCGGCCGCGUGGAGGAGAACCAGCCCCUCUCCUCCAGUGGGGAGACCUGUCUGCAUCAGGCGCAGCCCUGGGCCAGCGCACUAUCUGCCACUUCAUCGUGGAAGCAGGGGCGCCGCCUGAUGAAGACAGACCAGCAGGCGAGCAGCCUCUCCCAGGGGCAGGGGGCACUGGGCCACCCUUCGAGUUUGAAGCUGUCCUCAGCCAACACAGCCUAGACCCUGAGACCUGAGCCGGAAGGCUUCCAAAAAUCUUCGGGAUACCUGAUCGCAGCUUCCUCCGUUCCCAGGGUGACACCCGCCUGGCAGCGGCCGGCAGAAGGCGCAGGACACAGAGCUGGCCGCCACCUGGAGAAUCGACAGCACUACCAGAUGAUCCAACGCGAGGACCAGGAGACGGCCGUGUAGCCCCGGCCUCCGGCCACAUUCCAGUGCGGGCAGAGGGAGGGGGACCCUCCAAGGAAGGAGCUGCCUGAUGACGAGGCUGGACUCUGCGCAGCUGGGGCUGUCACCAGUCCCCCUGAGGCCCCCGCCUGCCCCCAGGGCUUACAGGGAGUAGGAACUCG
This 573-nucleotide long non-coding RNA is filed under the name Heterocephalus glaber (naked mole-rat). RNAcentral describes it as "lncRNA (ENSHGLG00000033206.1)". The record is from RNAcentral. Lineage: Eukaryota; Metazoa; Chordata; Mammalia; Rodentia; Bathyergidae.